GACGAACGCUGGCGGCGUGCUUAACACAUGCAAGUCGAACGGAAAGGCCCUGCGUUUGUGGGGUGCUCGUGUGGCGAACGGGGGAGUAACACGUGUGUAACCUGCCCUUGACUUUGGGAUAACUUCAGGGAACUGGGGCUAAUACCGGAUAGGAGCUCCUGCUGCAUGGGGGGGAUUGGAAAGUUUCGGCGGUUGGGGAUGGACUCGAGGCUUAUCAGCUUGUUGGUGGGGUAGUUGCUUACCAGGGCUUUGACGGGUAGCCGGCCUGGGAGGGUGACCGGCCACAUUGGGCCUGCGAUACGGCCCAGACUCCUACGUGCGGCAGCGGUGGGGAAUAUUGCGGAGUGGGCGGACGCCUGAUGCGGCAACGCCCCGUGCGUGAUGACGGCUUUCGGGUUGUAAACCGCUUUCGCCUGUGACGAAGCGUGAGUGACGGUAAUGGGUAAAGAAGCACCGGCUAACUACGUG
RNAcentral lists this ribosomal RNA (468 nucleotides) under uncultured bacterium. RNAcentral describes it as "partial 16S ribosomal RNA". It matches the Rfam family "Bacterial small subunit ribosomal RNA", at positions 28 to 507 of the family's 1533-position model. The record is from RNAcentral.